This 1126-nucleotide long non-coding RNA is filed under the name Papio anubis (olive baboon). RNAcentral describes it as "lncRNA (ENSPANG00000042942.1)". Lineage: Eukaryota; Metazoa; Chordata; Mammalia; Primates; Cercopithecidae. The record is from RNAcentral.
CUGUGGGACUGAAACCCUUGUUUCCUCACUGACUGUCAGCUGGGGCCACUCUCAGCUCCUCAGGCACCUGCACCUGCAUUCUUCUCCCAGGGCCACAUCCAUCUUUAAAGUCAGUGAUGGCAGUGAGCCCAGUCCUUUGCAUGCCCUGAAUCUGUCUGACUGCCCUUUGCACCAGCUGGGGAAAGCUCCCUGCUUCACCAAAUAUGUGGUGAGAUGAAGCCCCUGCCAGGUAACAACACAAUCAUAGGAGCAGCACCAGGUUCAGCGGCAUCCUUAAAACUCUGCUGUCUCAAACUACCUCCAUCCCCAGCAGACACUCCAGGAGGCCUAGAGGAGAAGCCAUCCCUGUAGGGGGAGCCAGGAAGACAGGGCCGGCCGCUUCUUCCCACCAGUGGUGCUUCUGGCAGGCCAAGCCCAUCAGAGCACCUGGGGAGAGCCUGGGCCCCAUCUUAGGACCCAGCCUGCAGUGCACAAAGGAGCUGAGCCAUGGAUGGAGGAAACGUUUAGAAGAAUGACUGUAAGCUGCAAACAGACUUGGUCUUGCGCUUUUCCUCAAGCACUGCAAUUCUGUUAGAACACUGCCUGUUUAGCUACUUAACAUCAAAGUGUCAGAGACUUUUGAACUGGAGUGACUCCAUUUUGCGUGAGGGCUGGGAAAUGAGGCUGGGACCCGCUGAGCUGCAUUCCCGGAAAGAAAGGCAUUCCUGGCCUCUAGAUGUUUACCACGAAGGGAACAGAUUAAUGUUUACUAAACAGACCCAGGCUUGAGAGUGUCCUAAUAUCCUGAUAUCUUGAGAACAAAGGCAUUCCUAAUUUUGCUUUAAAGAUAAUCAUAUGAAUUCUUGCAAAAUAUAGUAAUUAAGAAAAUUAAUACUUUAUCACAAACCCUUGUAGCAGAGCACAUCUCCCCAUGACCUUUUUUAUCCUAUACAUAAACAAGCGUUGUACCUAGGGUGGACGCGUUCCUCCUCUCACUGUCGGGAACAUCCUGCUCUGUCUACAGAAUAGCUGUUCUUUCACCACUGUACUCUCUUAAUAAACUUGCUUUUACUUUGCACUGUGGACUCGUCCUGAAUUCUUUCUUGUGCGAGAUCCAGGAACCCUCUCUUGCGGUCUGAAUGGGGAC